Molecule: ribosomal RNA, 431 nt
Filed under: uncultured bacterium
Lineage: Bacteria
Description: partial 16S ribosomal RNA
Rfam family: Bacterial small subunit ribosomal RNA
Source: RNAcentral
AACGAACGCUGGCGGCAGGCUUAACACGUGCAAGUCGAGCGCCCCGCAAGGGGAGCGGCAGACGGGUGAGUAACGCGUGGGAACGUACCUUUUGGUUCGGAACAACUCCGGGAAACUGGAGCUAAUACCGGAUAAGCCCUAACGGGGAAAGAUUUAUCGCCGAAAGAUCGGCCCGCGUCUGAUUAGCUAGUUGGUGAGGUAACGGCUCACCAAGGCGACGAUCAGUAGCUGGUCUGAGAGGAUGAUCAGCCACACUGGGACUGAGACACGGCCCAGACUCCUACGGGAAGCAGCAGUGGGGAAUAUUGGACAAUGGGCGCAAGCCUGAUCCAGCCAUGCCGCGUGAGUGAUGAAGGCCUUAGGGUUGUAAAGCUCUUUUGUCCGGGAAGAUAAUGACUGUACCGGAAGAAUAAGCCCCGGCUAACUUCGUG